This 364-nucleotide non-coding RNA is filed under the name Stegodyphus mimosarum. RNAcentral's name for it is "eukaryotic small subunit ribosomal RNA". It matches the Rfam family "Eukaryotic small subunit ribosomal RNA", at positions 42 to 435 of the family's 1831-position model. The record is from Rfam by way of RNAcentral. Lineage: Eukaryota; Metazoa; Arthropoda; Arachnida; Araneae; Eresidae.
GAUUAAGCCACGCAUGUUUAAGCACAUGCCAUAUAAAAGCGAAUCUGCGAAUGGCUCAUUAAAUCAGUUAUGAUUCCUUGGAUCGUACCUUACUACUUGGAUAACUGUGGCAAUUCUGGAAAAAUAUUCAGCAGUGCUUUCACCCUCUGUGGAAAAGCGUUUUAUUAGACCACAAACAAUCGAACCUCCUUUUCUUAUUAUGUGGCCGCUCUGUAUAAUGUUGGGCUGAUCGCACGGGCUCGGUCAUGAUCGUAACGGAUGAUGGCGAAACAUGGUUCGAUUUCGGACAGGUUCUCUAAGAAAUUGCUGCUACAUCCAUUCAAAUUUUAAAUGAGCACAGGUUGUGUCAGAACGCUGCAGAAAC